GAAUUUUUAAAUGGCACCCCCAAAUUUGUGCAAGGCAAAUAUUUUUUGGAACUAUCCGUUCCGAAUAACAAUUGACCAAGGAAAAAUAAUUUUAAUUAUGAAUUCACCAUUGGGAUCGGCUCAAGCUCGGUUAAUUUUAAUUGACUAGUGAACUAGUGCUUAACCUGGCACGGUAGUAAGUAAUAUAUAACUGUCAACUAUUAUUGCUAUUUUCAAUCUAAGUUGAGAACUUUUACUGCAGAGAAACCAUAAGGAAAAAAAAGU
This is a long non-coding RNA of Rhododendron vialii, 264 nucleotides long. RefSeq lists it as uncharacterized. NCBI's taxonomy places the organism in Eukaryota, Viridiplantae, Streptophyta, Magnoliopsida, Ericales, Ericaceae. The transcript has 2 exons. The record is from RefSeq and is a predicted model, not a curated record.